UUGUUUUUCUUGUUUAUGCUUUGAUAUAAGUCACACUUUUGCCCCACACAACAAGUAAGCGACUGUAUCACCUACCUCAUCUUGAUGUUGCGUUUGGUCCUUUCGGCAAUUGUUUGAGUACACUAUCACUAUACACCCCUUAGGCACUCCCAUCUAUGCUACUUUCCCCUCUCCCCCAUCUUGUCAACUUAAGACCGGGAAGACAAGAUGCACCAAUGAUCCAC
Molecule: long non-coding RNA, 224 nt
Filed under: Hordeum vulgare
Lineage: Eukaryota; Viridiplantae; Streptophyta; Magnoliopsida; Poales; Poaceae
Description: long non-coding RNA (HVUL_LNC009922)
Source: RNAcentral